RNAcentral lists this ribosomal RNA (254 nucleotides) under uncultured bacterium. RNAcentral's name for it is "partial 16S ribosomal RNA". It matches the Rfam family "Bacterial small subunit ribosomal RNA", at positions 524 to 776 of the family's 1533-position model. The record is from RNAcentral.
UACGUAGGGGGCUAGCGUUGUCCGGAAUCAUUGGGCGUAAAGCGCGUGUAGGCGGUCCGGUAAGUCCGCUGUGAAAGUCGAGGGCUCAACCCUCGAAUGCCGGUGGAUACUGUCGGGCUUGAGUACGGGAGAGGCGAGUGGAAUUCCUGGUGUAGCGGUGAAAUGCGUAGAUAUCGAGAGGAACACCUGAGGUGAAGACGGGUUGCUGGGCCGACACUGACGCUGACAGCGCGAAAGCCAGGGGAGCAAACGGG